GAUGAACGCUAGCGGCAGGCUUAACACAUGCAAGUCGAGGGGUAGAAGGAGCUUGCUCCUUUGAGACCGGCGCACGGGUGCGUAACGCGUAUGCAAUCUACCUUUUGCAGAGGGAUAGCCCAGAGAAAUUUGGAUUAAUACCUCAUAGUAUGUGAGGAUGGCAUCAUUUUCACAUUAAAGCCACAACGGCAAAAGAUGAGCAUGCGUCCCAUUAGCUAGUUGGUAAGGUAACGGCUUACCAAGGCUACGAUGGGUAGGGGUCCUGAGAGGGAGAUCCCCCACACUGGUACUGAGACACGGACCAGACUCCUACGGGAGGCAGCAGUGAGGAAUAUUGGGACAAUGGGCGCAAG
This 353-nucleotide ribosomal RNA is filed under the name uncultured bacterium. RNAcentral's name for it is "bacterial SSU rRNA". It matches the Rfam family "Bacterial small subunit ribosomal RNA", at positions 28 to 381 of the family's 1533-position model. The record is from RNAcentral.